AUUGAACGCUGGCGGCAUGCCUUACACAUGCAAGUCGAACGGCAGCACGGGAGCAAUCCUGGUGGCGAGUGGCGAACGGGUGAGUAAUAUAUCGGAACGUGCCCAGUCGUGGGGAUAACGUAGCGAAAGCUACGCUAAUACCGCAUACGAUCUAUGGAUGAAAGCGGGGGAUCGCAAGACCUCGCGCGAUUGGAGCGGCCGAUAUCAGAUUAGGUAGUUGGUGAGGUAAAGGCUCACCAAGCCGACGAUCUGUAGCUGGUCUGAGAGGACGACCAGCCACACUGGGACUGAGACACGGCCCAGACUCCUACGGGAGGCAGCAGUGGGAAUUUUGGACAAUGGGCGCAAGCCUGAUCCAGCAAUGCCGCGUGCAGGAUGAAGGCCUUC
RNAcentral lists this ribosomal RNA (387 nucleotides) under uncultured bacterium. Its description in RNAcentral is "bacterial SSU rRNA". It matches the Rfam family "Bacterial small subunit ribosomal RNA", at positions 30 to 419 of the family's 1533-position model. The record is from RNAcentral.